This 447-nucleotide ribosomal RNA is filed under the name uncultured bacterium. RNAcentral's name for it is "bacterial SSU rRNA". It matches the Rfam family "Bacterial small subunit ribosomal RNA", at positions 355 to 825 of the family's 1533-position model. The record is from RNAcentral.
UGGGGAAUAUUGGACAAUGGGCGAAAGCCUGAUCCAGCCAUGCCGCGUGAGUGACGAAGGCCUUAGGGUUGUAAAGCUCUUUUGGCGGGGAAGAUAAUGACGGUACCCGCAGAAUAAGCUCCGGCUAACUUCGUGCCAGCAGCCGCGGUAAUACAGAGGGUGCGAGCGUUAAUCGGAGUGACUGGGCGUAAAGGGCAUGUAGGCGGUUAUAUUAGUCUGAUGUAAAAGACCCGGGCUUAACCUGGGAUAUGCAUUGGAAACGGUAUAGCUAGAGUAUGGGAGAGGGAAGUGGAAUUUCCGGUGUAGCGGUGAAAUGCGUAGAGAUCGGAAAGAACACUCGUGGCGAAGGCGGCUUUCUGGCCCAUAACUGACGCUGAGGUGCGAAAGCAUGGGGAGCAAACAGGAUUAGAUACCCCCGUAGUCCCUGAGCGGGCUGGCAAGGCGCAU